AUUGAACGCUGGCGGCAUGCCUUACACAUGCAAGUCGAACGGUAACAGGUUAAGCUGACGAGUGGCGAACGGGUGAGUAACACAUCGGAACGUGCCCAAUCGUGGGGGAUAACGUAGCGAAAGCUACGCUAAUACCGCAUACGAUCUACGGAUGAAAGCGGGGGAUCGCAAGACCUCGCGCGAAUGGAGCGGCCGAUGGCAGAUUAGGUAGUUGGUGGGGUAAAGGCUCACCAAGCCGACGAUCUGUAGCUGGUCUGAGAGGACGACCAGCCACACUGGGACUGAGACACGGCCCAGACUCCUACGGGAGGCAGCAGUGGGGAAUUUUGGACAAUGGGCGCAAGCCUGAUCCAGCAAUGCCGCGUGCAGGAUGAAGGCCUCGGUUGUAACUAGCUUUGUACGGUAACGAAACGGUACCUUCUAAUACAGGGGCUAAUGACGGUACCGUAAGAAUAAGCACCGGCUAACUACGUGCCAGCAGCCGCGGUAA
This 490-nucleotide ribosomal RNA is filed under the name uncultured bacterium. RNAcentral's name for it is "bacterial SSU rRNA". It matches the Rfam family "Bacterial small subunit ribosomal RNA", at positions 30 to 523 of the family's 1533-position model. The record is from RNAcentral.